Long non-coding RNA from Acinonyx jubatus (cheetah), 659 nucleotides. RefSeq lists it as uncharacterized. NCBI's taxonomy places the organism in Eukaryota, Metazoa, Chordata, Mammalia, Carnivora, Felidae. The record is from RefSeq and is a predicted model, not a curated record. The transcript has 3 exons.
AGCACAAGCCUCAACCAGAAUGAUGGUCACGAUGGAGAAUAUAGACAAUAUCAUUUCUUUGAUUUCCAGGUUUGAGAGCAUUGAGUGACAUCAUCAAAUCCAAACGAGAACUCUCCCAGUGAGCAUAGACAGGACUUUGAGACAGUCUCUCAGAAAAAGAUAACUUUGUGGAGGUUUUCUUGAAGAAGAAUAAGAUAUAUUGCAAAAGUGGUAACAAUAAAAUAGAGCAGAUGGUAGAGAAUAGACUUGUUUAGAGAAGAAAACUGAAGAUUAUAUAGUAGUGAAGGAAUGGAGGAUGCAGCUUUCAAGUACCAAUGAGGACAUAUACUACACUGACUGACAUCUCUUCAAGACAUAGGAAAAUGGGGUUGAUUAUUUCUCACAUGUUGGUCAAGGUCACUGAGGAAAACAUAGUAUAAAAAGUUAAUAUUGUAGGAAAGACUUGACAUCAAAAAUGAAAUAAUGUUUGAUAUUGAAAAAGAUAUAUUAUCCCUAUAGCUCUGCCAAACUUAGUAUCUACACAAAUUAUUAUCUCUCUUUUAAGUGUCAGUAAGUUAUAGUUAUGUAAGUUACAGUUCUCUAAGGGCAGCUUUAACUGCUUUCUCUUACUUAGAAAUUUCCUGUUUUACUUCUCUCAGUCAAAAUGACUUCAAUUUUUA